RNAcentral lists this small nuclear RNA (142 nucleotides) under Aotus nancymaae (Ma's night monkey). Its description in RNAcentral is "U4 spliceosomal RNA (ENSANAG00000011304.1)". It matches the Rfam family "U4 spliceosomal RNA". From Rfam's summary of the family: U4 small nuclear RNA (U4 snRNA) is a component of the major U2-dependent spliceosome. The structure of U4 snRNA from yeast and human has been reported. U4 snRNA presents a k-turn RNA motif in the 5p-SL related to recognition of Snu13 protein. The record is from Rfam by way of RNAcentral. Lineage: Eukaryota; Metazoa; Chordata; Mammalia; Primates; Aotidae.
AUCUUUCGCGACAGUGGCAGUAUCGUAGCCAAUGAGGUUUUUCCGAGCGCGCAUUAUUGCUAAUUGAAAACUUUUCCAAUACCCUGCCUUGACGACUUGCAAUACAGUCGGCACUGGCAAUUUUUGACAGUCUCUAUGGAGA